This 253-nucleotide ribosomal RNA is filed under the name uncultured bacterium. RNAcentral describes it as "partial 16S ribosomal RNA". It matches the Rfam family "Bacterial small subunit ribosomal RNA", at positions 524 to 776 of the family's 1533-position model. The record is from RNAcentral.
UACGGAGGGUGCGAACGUUGCUCGGAAUCAUUGGGCGUAAAGCGCACGUAGGCGGCGGCGUAAGCGGGGUGUGAAAGCCCAGGGCUCAACCCUGGAAGUGCAUCCCGAACUGUGUCGCUUGAAUCUCGGAGGGGGACAGAGAAUUCCCGGUGUAGAGGUGAAAUUCGUAGAUAUCGGGAGGAAUACCAGUGGCGAAGGCGCUGUCCUGGACGAAGAUUGACGCUGAGGUGCGAAAGCGUGGGGAGCAAACAGG